GCGGAGGAAAAGAAACCAACAGGGAUUGCCUCAGUAACGGCGAGUGAAGCGGCAACAGCUCAAAUUUGAAAUCUGACCCCUUCGGGGCCCGAGUUGUAAUUUGUAGAGGGUGUUUCGGGCGCGGCGCCGGUCUAAGUUCCUUGGAACAGGACGUCACAGAGGGUGAGAAUCCCGUAUGUGACCGGCGAUCAAGCCCAUGUGAAGCCCCUUCGACGAGUCGAGUUGUUUGGGAAUGCAGCUCAAAAUGGGUGGUAAAUUCCAUCUACAGCUAAAUAUUGGCCGGAGACCGAUAGCGGACAAGUAGAGUGAUCGAAAGAUGAAAAGCACUUUGGAAAGAGAGUCAAACAGUACGUGAAAUUGUUGAAAGGGAAGCGCUUGCAAUCAGACCGGUCCGGGGGUGAUCAGCCGCUGCUCGUCAGCUGGUGCACUCGCCCCCGAUCCGGCCAGCAUCGGUUUGGGCGGUGGGAGAAAAGCCCCGGGAAUGUAGCUUCUUUCGGGGAGUCUUAUAGCCCGGGGCGCAAUGCCGCCCGCCCGGACCGAGGACCGCGCUUCGGCUAGGAUGCUGGCGUAAUGGUUGCAAGCGACCCGUCUUGAAACACGGACCAAGGAGUCUAACAUCUAUGCGAGUGUUUGGGUGUCAAACCCAGGCGCGGAAUGAAAGUGAACGGAGGUGGGAGCCCGUCGCACGGCGCACCAUCGACCGAUCCAGAUGUCUUCGGAUGGAUUUGAGUAUGAGCAUAGCUGUUGGGACCCGAAAGAUGGUGAACUAUGCCCGGAUAGGGUGAAGCCAGAGGAAACUCUGGUGGAGGCUCGCAGCGGUUCUGACGUGCAAAUCGAUCGUCAAAUCUAGGCAUAGGGGCGAAAGACCA
Molecule: ribosomal RNA, 869 nt
Filed under: Lobaria sp. CM-2020a
Lineage: Eukaryota; Fungi; Ascomycota; Lecanoromycetes; Peltigerales; Lobariaceae
Description: partial large subunit ribosomal RNA
Rfam family: Eukaryotic large subunit ribosomal RNA
Source: RNAcentral